This 478-nucleotide ribosomal RNA is filed under the name uncultured bacterium. RNAcentral describes it as "partial 16S ribosomal RNA". It matches the Rfam family "Bacterial small subunit ribosomal RNA", at positions 28 to 507 of the family's 1533-position model. The record is from RNAcentral.
GAUUAACGCUGGCGGCGUGCAUAACACAUGCAAGUCGAACGAUGAAACUCAUUAGAUUUCUUCGGAAUGAAAAUGAAUGGAUUAGUGGCGAACGGGUGAGUAACGCGUGAGUAACCUGCCUUACACAAGGGGAUAGCCUCUGGAAACGGAGAAUAAUACCCUAUGAAACCAGACAAUCGCAUGAUAAUCUGGUCAAAAUGUUUAGUGGUGUAAGAUGGACUUGCGUCUGAUUAGCUAGUUGGUGAGAUAAAAGCUCACCAAGGCAACGAUCAGUAGCCGGCUUGAGAGAGUGUACGGCCACAUUGGGACUGAGACACGGCCCAGACUCCUACGGGAGGCAGCAGUGGGGAAUGUUGCACAAUGGGGGAAACCCUGAUGCAGCGACGCCGCGUGAUUUAGAAGGCCUUCGGGUUGUAAAAAUCUUUUGUAUAGGAAGAAAAUGACAGUACUAUACGAAUAAGGUCCGGCUAAUUACGUG